GCUGGGUGUGGUGGCUCACACCUGUAAUCCCAGCUUCUUGGGAGGCUGAGGUGGGAGGAUCCCUUGAGCCCAAGAGUUCGAGGCUGCAGUGAGCUAUGAUCACAUCACUGCACUGUAGCCUGAGUGACAGAGAGAUACCCUGUCUCUU
This is an unclassified non-coding RNA of Macaca fascicularis (crab-eating macaque), 148 nucleotides long. It matches the Rfam family "Metazoan signal recognition particle RNA". From Rfam's summary of the family: The signal recognition particle (SRP) is a universally conserved ribonucleoprotein. It is involved in the co-translational targeting of proteins to membranes. The record is from Ensembl. Lineage: Eukaryota; Metazoa; Chordata; Mammalia; Primates; Cercopithecidae.